AUGUUCAGCCCAGCAGCCUGGGACUCUCUUCCUCGCGCCGGACCAAGGCCAAGGCCCAGCCAGCCUCCGCUGCUUAACCCUAGGCCCAGCCACGCUCGAACCCCUUCUCCAUUGAUCCCUCUCCUCGAUCUCCAUCUUCCUCACGCCGCCACCCACAGGAACCGCACGCAGACCGCAAAUCCUCUCGCGUCUGCGCCCGAUCUCCUGACCCCACUCCGUGCCUCUGCUCCGCGUUGCCUUCCUCUGCCGAUGUCCUCCCUCUGCCGAGCCCUACCUCAUUCUCGUGCCCGCACCCAUCGUCCUCGCGCUGCCCUAGAGCUUCACUGCCGCCAAGCGCCACCAUCGCGCACGCCUCCCGAUCCGGCGUCCUGCUACCUCCUCCGCCUCGAUCCGGUGCCGCCGGAGGCCACCCGCGUCACCCAGGCGCCAGCUCCUCCUUCCACCUCGCCUCUCUGCAACCCCCCGCGGAUGCCAUCUUCCAGCGCCGCCAGAUGCCGUCCACGGAACCCAUGGCGCCGUCAUCUCAAGGCCACGCCGCCGGCGGGAUCCUGCGUGCCUCCGCCCGGAUCGGCCUGCUCGUCCGUUCCCGCCGCCUCAAGCUUCGCCUGCAUCCCCGUUGCUCCUCCUCAUGCCUCGUUCUGGCGUAAUCCGCGACAUCCGAUGACCACGACGACCACAGGAGCCAACCUCCGCCAUCUUCCUGGUCAAGUUGAUGCCAGGGCCGACCCCAAGGUGUUCCUCUACUCCUCUCGCCUCAAGCUCCUGCCGCUGACCACCAUGUUCGUCUUCUGUUGCUGCUUCACCGGUGAGCACAGGCCACCGCCGCGUUGCCUUGCCUUCGCCUCCCGGCUUCGUCCGCGUCCCGCUCAACCCUGUGGACGUCAAGUACCUCUACGACGGCCCUGUACGUCUACGACUGUGUACCUCCACUGGUUACGCCAAGAUCGACUACGCCGGUUCGCCAAGUACCCCACCGGCAAGACCGACGCCUGA
This 993-nucleotide ribosomal RNA is filed under the name Triticum aestivum (bread wheat). RNAcentral's name for it is "partial small subunit ribosomal RNA". The record is from RNAcentral. Lineage: Eukaryota; Viridiplantae; Streptophyta; Magnoliopsida; Poales; Poaceae.